Acanthosepion pharaonis is the source of this 97-nucleotide non-coding RNA. The record is from the annotation of a GenBank genome assembly. Lineage: Eukaryota; Metazoa; Mollusca; Cephalopoda; Sepiida; Sepiidae.
AUUGAAACACUGGUUCCCAUCCAUCACUGAAUUUAAGCAAUGUCAAGCCUGGUCAGUACCUAGAUGGGUGAUCGUUUGGGAAUACCAGGUGCUGUAA